UGGGGUGUAGCCAAGUGGUAAGGCACGGGACUUUGACUCCCGCAUUCGCUGGUUCGAGUCCAGCUACCCCAGCCA
This 75-nucleotide transfer RNA is filed under the name Caudoviricetes sp. RNAcentral describes it as "tRNA-Gln". It matches the Rfam family "tRNA". From Rfam's summary of the family: Transfer RNA (tRNA) molecules are approximately 80 nucleotides in length. Their secondary structure includes four short double-helical elements and three loops (D, anti-codon, and T loops). Further hydrogen bonds mediate the characteristic L-shaped molecular structure. tRNAs have two regions of fundamental functional importance: the anti-codon, which is responsible for specific mRNA codon recognition, and the 3' end, to which the tRNAs corresponding amino acid is attached (by aminoacyl-tRNA synthetases). tRNAs cope with the degeneracy of the genetic code in two manners: having more than one tRNA (with a specific anti-codon) for a particular amino acid; and 'wobble' base-pairing, i.e. permitting non-standard base-pairing at the 3rd anti-codon position. Lineage: Duplodnaviria; Heunggongvirae; Uroviricota; Caudoviricetes. The record is from RNAcentral.